AAAGGAUUAGUUUAAUUUUAGAAUUUUUGACUCUUAAUCAUAAGGUUUAUUCUUUAG
This 57-nucleotide transfer RNA is filed under the name Setaria labiatopapillosa. RNAcentral's name for it is "tRNA-Lys". The record is from RNAcentral. Lineage: Eukaryota; Metazoa; Nematoda; Chromadorea; Rhabditida; Setariidae.